This 557-nucleotide long non-coding RNA is filed under the name Mytilus galloprovincialis (Mediterranean mussel). The record is from RNAcentral. Lineage: Eukaryota; Metazoa; Mollusca; Bivalvia; Mytilida; Mytilidae.
ACUAACACACACAAUUGUCUAAGAAGAUCAUUAAUGAACACUAAAUAAAAAAAAAAAACAGCAGACAGCACCCCACUUUGUCUUACGCCUCUUUUGAGGUUGAACCAUUUUGAACACUUUCCUUUAAAUUGCACACAGCUUCGCAUGUUCUGGUACAUUUCAUAGAUCAACAGCCUACUUCAGCGUCAUCUUUGUAGUUUGUUUAAUCUUGUAUUGGAAACAUGCUACACACCGAUAAGCUGGAAAGACAGUUGUAUCAUACCUCUAUUCAAAGGUGGAAACAAAUCAAAGUCUGAUCCGAAUUCAUAUCGGGGAAUUUCUCUUCUGUGUAGCAUAUCAAAACUGUUUGAAAAGGCACUAUAUACUCGUUUACCAUCGCUUCAUCACAACUUUCCACACCAAUCACAAGUUGCCUACCAGAAGACAUUAUCUAGCACACAUGCAAGUUUUAACAUGUAAGAAGUCGUACACCAUAACUUAGAGCGUCAUAGCAAUAUUAUCGUCACACUUCUGGACAGCAUGAAAGCAUUUGAUACUCUAUGGCACAAAGGACUCUU